UACAGAGGGGGCAAGCGUUGUUCGGAAUUACUGGGCGUAAAGGGCGCGUAGGCGGCCUUCUAAGUCGAACGUGAAAUCCCACGGCUCAACCGUGGAACUGCUUGGUAUACUGGAUGUCUUGAGCCACUUAGGGGCUACCGGAACAAAUGGUGGAGCGGUGAAAUGCGUAGAUAUCAUUUGGAACGCCAAUGGUGAAAACAGGUAGCUGGGAGUGUGCUGACACUGAGACACGAAAGCCAGGGGAGCGAACGGG
RNAcentral lists this ribosomal RNA (253 nucleotides) under uncultured bacterium. RNAcentral's name for it is "partial 16S ribosomal RNA". It matches the Rfam family "Bacterial small subunit ribosomal RNA", at positions 524 to 776 of the family's 1533-position model. The record is from RNAcentral.